This is a long non-coding RNA of Mauremys reevesii (Reeves's turtle), 2020 nucleotides long. RefSeq lists it as uncharacterized. The record is from RefSeq and is a predicted model, not a curated record. Lineage: Eukaryota; Metazoa; Chordata; Testudines; Geoemydidae. The transcript is spliced from 3 exons.
AGUGCCGCCCUCCCGGAGCCCGGGCCCUGCCGCGUGGCGCGGCUCGGCAAAUCAGCAACCGCCGCAGUGACUCUCUAGGGUGUAACCGCCCCGCCCACGAGCCUAGGCUCGACUCUAGUCGCGCGCCCCCUCCAGGGCCUGUCCACACGCCGGGUUGCGCCGGUUUAACUUCGUUUUGAAACCUGCUCGUUGAAUGGCGGCAGAAGGCCAGAGGCGUCCCCCGAAUGUUUCGCGUAGGGACCACGCUGGACCCACUCUUCACUGAUUAGACCGUGAUGAACAUGUCCUUUCAGAUCAGCUGAUUAUAUAAACAAACCACUACUCGUGGCUGGUGCUGGAUCAAGUGCAUGUUGAAAGCAGAAUAUUUCAAGUGUGGAUAGGCUACGUAUUGACCAGAUAGAUCGCUACGAAGAGGAAAUUUGAAUGUGGUGGAAGCAAGAGAUGGCGAAAACAACUGAGUGAACCAGCAACUAAGAGCUCAAAGCCAGUAACUUCAUUUCUCAAACUACUGUGACUGGAAAACACCCCUUACCCAACAAACACUGCUACAGAUAAUGAAAAUUCCACAACUGCAACAGGUGAUAUUUCAAUGCCAAUACCUGAAAAUUAGGACAGUAGUCAAGAAGGAGAUGUUCCAACAGUAACAGAUGCAGCAGAAGAUCCUGUGUACAAUCAAGAAACUCAACAGCAACAGGAAGAUGUAGAUCUUACUCAGCAAGAGCAAUUCAUGAGUACUAGUUGUUUUGAAAUUCCAAGUAACAUUCCAUGAGAUGCUGAUAAUCAUGCUUUCCCUAUUCAUCUGCUGACAAAAACUCUUUCAAAUGGUGAGACCUACACAAGAGACUGGUUAUCCUGGAGUACAGAAAAACAAUCUCUGCACUGUGCAUCCUGCUUCAUUUUGAACAAAAGUGCUGCAAAUGCAUCAGUUGUCUCUGCUCAAUCAACAGAUGUUGGAGGAAGUUGAAAGACCGACUACCAUCACAUGAGAGUUCAACGUCACACAAAGAAAACUAUGUUUGCAUGGAAAUCAGCCAGUAGGGCAGCAUCAGCUGAAAGUUCAUUUGAGAAUUUACUCUCAACUGAACUCUUUACAGAAACUAAUAACUGGAAAAAAACUUCUUGAGCGCAUCCUGAAUGUCAUCCUUUUUCUUUCUGUGUGGGGAUUGGCUUUCUUUGGUUCCAGUCAACAUAUUGGUGAUUGUGCAAAUGGAAACUUUCUAGGCAUAGUUGAGCUCCUCAGCAAAUAUGACAACCCACUUUUAUCAGAGCAUGUUAAACAUGUUAAAGAAUCGCAAGAGUGUCAAAAGUGCAAUUAAUCUGGUACUUGAAGCACACAGUGCUACACUUGAUGUUGAGAGGGAUAACAUUGAAAGUCGUAUCAAUGACACUCAACAGAUUCGUGAACAAUGGGAUGCGAUCCUAACUCAGUCCAAAUUAGUAGCACAGAAUAUUGGCAUUUCAUCUGAGUUCUCCACCAAUCCCAAUUUACCUACUGAAUCCAAUGCCGAGCAGCAUUAUAGGGUCAAUGUCUUCCUUGUCAUCACUGACUCUAUUCAAUCAGAUCUUACAUGUUGAUUUGAGUCACUGCGACUAAUUUAUACCCUUUUUGGAUUUCUUUGGCAGGUCAACAAUUUCAGCAACAGUACAACAAAUAAAUCUUAAAAGAUCUAAGUGAUGAGGUCAUCUUCCUCAAAUGAAUAUAUUCCACAAACUUUAACUUGGAUUGCAAGCCAAAGGAAUUGCUUCAAGAAAUACUCAAACUUGGACUCUCUGGAGUGUUUCCUAAUAUCACAAUUGCAUUGCGUAUUUUUGUCAGUGGCUUCAGGUGAAUGCACCUUCAACAUGUUGAAGCAGGUAAAGAACUAUCACCGUUCAACUAUGGGACAAGAGCAUUUGAAUAGGCUCACCAUGCUUAAUAUCAACUGUGACAUUUCACAAAAGCUAGAUUUUUCCUCAACAACAGCAUUUGCACAGAAAAAGGCUAGAAAAGUAUUUGUUAAAUAAAAAAAUAUUCAAAUUA